AUUGAACGCUGGCGGCAUGCCUUACACAUGCAAGUCGAACGGCAGCACGGGAGCAAUCCUGGUGGCGAGUGGCGAACGGGUGAGUAAUAUAUCGGAACGUGCCCGGUCGUGGGGGAUAACGCAGCGAAAGCUACGCUAAUACCGCAUACGAUCUACGGAUGAAAGCGGGGGAUCGCAAGACCUCGCGCGAUUGGAGCGGCCGAUAUCAGAUUAGGUAGUUGGUGAGGUAAAGGCUCACCAAGCCGACGAUCUGUAGCUGGUCUGAGAGGACGACCAGCCACACUGGGACUGAGACACGGCCCAGACUCCUACGGGAGGCAGCAGUGAGGAAUAUUGGACAAUGGGCGCAAGCCUGAUCCAGCCAUGCCGCGUGCAGGAAGAAGGUCCUAUGGAUUGUAAACUGCUUUUAUACAGGAAGAAACACUCCCUCGUGAGGGAACUUGACGGUACUGUAUGAAUAAGGACCGGCUAACUCCGUG
Molecule: ribosomal RNA, 479 nt
Filed under: uncultured bacterium
Lineage: Bacteria
Description: bacterial SSU rRNA
Rfam family: Bacterial small subunit ribosomal RNA
Source: RNAcentral